CAGAAUGUCAGUAAAGAGAAAGGUUAUGACAAAGAUUCUGAUUCAGAAUGUUGGUAAAGAGAAAGGUUAUGACAAAGAUUCUGAUUCAGAAUGUUAGUAAAGAGAAAGGUUAUGACAAAGAUUCUGAUUCAGAAUGUCAGUAAAGAGAAAGGUUAUGACAAAGAUUCUGAUUCAGAAUGUCAGUAAAGAGAAAGGUUAUGACAAAGAUUCUGAUUCAGAAUGUCAGUAAAGAGAAAGGUUAUGACAAAGAUUCUGAUUCAGAAUGUCAGUAAAGAGAAAGGUUAUGAGAUUCUGAUUCAGAAUGUCAGUAAAGAGAAAGGUUAUGAGAUUCUGAUUCAGAAUGUCAGUAAAGAGAAAGGUUAUGAGAUUCUGAUUCAGAAUGUCAGUAAAGAGAAAGGUUAUGACAAAGAUUCUGAUUCAGAAUGUCAGUAAAGAGAAAGGUUAUGACAAAGAUUCUGAUUCAGAAUGUCAGUAAAGAGAAAGGUUAUGACAAAGAUUCUGAUUCAGAAUGUUAGUAAAGAGAAAGGUUAUGACAAAGAUUCUGAUUCAGAAUGUUAGUAAAGAGAAAGGUUAUGACAAAGAUUCUGAUUCAGAAUGUUAGUAAAGAGAAAGGUUAUGACAAAGAUUCUGAUUCAGAAUGUUUGUAAAGAGGAAUCAUUAGAUUCUGAUUCAGAAAAAAAAAUCAGAAAAAAAUGCCUAAUACCACCAUCUAGUGGGCACAACCUGGUAAUAUCAGGAUUUUUGAAGAAAUUAUUUUUUUCAAAACUAUUACAAUAUUGUCUCUUUGGUUAAUUACUCACAUUUUAUGCACUGCAGUGAUAGCUAGCUGUAGCUUAUGCUUUCAGUACUAGAUACAUUUUUUGAUAUUUUGAUUGGGUGGACAUGUCAGUUCACGCUCCAAGAGCUCUGAUAGGUUGGAGGACAUCCUCUGGAAGUUGUCAUA
This is a long non-coding RNA of Oncorhynchus keta (chum salmon), 943 nucleotides long. RefSeq lists it as uncharacterized. Lineage: Eukaryota; Metazoa; Chordata; Actinopteri; Salmoniformes; Salmonidae. The record is from RefSeq and is a predicted model, not a curated record. The transcript is spliced from 3 exons.